RNAcentral lists this ribosomal RNA (440 nucleotides) under uncultured bacterium. Its description in RNAcentral is "partial 16S ribosomal RNA". It matches the Rfam family "Bacterial small subunit ribosomal RNA", at positions 338 to 795 of the family's 1533-position model. The record is from RNAcentral.
CCUACGGGAGGCAGCAGUAGGGAAUUUUGCGCAAUGGGCGAAAGCCUGACGCAGCAACACCGCGUGAAUGUUAAGCCCUUCGGGGUGUAAAGAUCUGUCAAUAGGGACGAAUUUUGACUGUACCCAUAAACGAAGCACCGGCUAACUCCGUGCCAGCAGCGGCGGUAAUACGGGGGGUGCAAGCGUUGUCCGGAAUCAUUGGGCGUAAAGCGUUCGUAGUCGGCAAGGUAAGUCUGAUGUUAAAGCCCCGGGCUCAACUCCGGUUCGGCAGUGGAUACUAUCUAGCUAGAGUGUGGUAGAGGUAAAGGGAAUUCCUGGUGUAGCGGUGAAAUGCGUAGAUAUCAGGAGGAACAUCGAUGGCGAAAGCGCUAUACUGGACCAUUAUUGACGCUGAGGAACGAAAGCCAGGGGAGCAAAUGGGAUUAGAUACCCUGGUAGUC